CGAGCAAACUCCUUCCCGCAACACAUGUGAGACCCUCCUCCAAAGGGUACAAAUACUCGGGGCGGUAAUAUUUCUUCAAAUCUCGAAGGAUCAAAUUUCGCAGGCUUUGGAAAGUACGUUGGGUCCAUAUGUGUUGAAUAAACGUUCCAGUGUACCUAAUCAAUUUGACAAAAAAAUAUCACAAAAUCUUGUUGACAAAAGGUGUACAAUAAUUUACUGUACACCAAACCUAUUUUAGACAAGCCCACUUAACUCACACGUGUGAACUCAAGGUAUACUGUGAAUCAACUCUCAUUUGCUCUUUCUCUCUCCUCUAACGCGUUCUUCUCUCUCUUCCCUUUCUUCUUUACCAGCAAUUUUUCUUUCUGCGAUUUCUCUUGCCAUUUCUUCCACAUUCUGCUGCUAAUCUCUUCUGCCGCGAUCUACGAAUCUCUCAGCUCCGAUUUCUUUUACGAUUUUGAUGCAUUCUCCUCCAUUGUUCUUCAAGCCCUGCUGCUGCACCAGAUAGGCAAAUAUAGUUUGUGGUGGGCAGGAUGACCAAAUAUUGCCUUCAGUCCCCCAUUACUCCUAUUGAGGAAGAAGAUCCACCAUAUUCCUCGUCUGAUUCUAUUGUUACUUCCGGUCAUACUACAAAAGGCUAUUAGCUCAAAUGGUAGAGCAAUGUGCAAAAUUAUGUACAUGGUGUGGGUUCAAAUCCCGCAUAGCCUAGGUGCUUGCAAGUUGCGAACUAGGUUAUGAGGUUUUACAUAAGUGAAAAGUUAGGAAUAUCAACAUAAAAGUUAGCCUAGGUGUAGUAAAAGUUAAGAAAGAAGAUUAUAUCAAUUUACCUAACUUUUACUACAUGAAGCUUAACUUUUAAUGCAAACAGGCUAACUUUAAUUUUUUCACUCAAUAAGACUAACUUUAACUUCCGAGAUUUCACUUAAAGUUAAAAAUAUCAUUAUAAAAGUUAUCCAUGGUGUAGUAAAAGUUAAGAAAAAAUUUAUAUCAGUUUACCUAACUUUUACAACACGAACGCUAACUUUUAAUGCAAAAAACCUAACUAUAAUUUUUUCACUCAAUAAGACUAACUUUAACGUCUGAGGUAUAGUUAUCCAUGGUGUAGUAAAAAAUUUAUAUCAGUUUACUUAAUUUUUACUACACGAACGCUAACUUUUAAUGCAAAAAACCUAACUUUAAUGCAAAAAACUCUUUUUAUCUCUAAGACAUGUAGUAUAUGAAAGUGAUAUAAUGUAAUUACAUAUGAUGUAAUCACUCUUUUAACAUUAUAGUUUUCUAAUUUUUUUUGUGUUAAAGUUGUAAUUCCGUAGGUUAAAGUUAUGGAAACUGUUCUAAAAGUUAAGUAGUCUUCCGUCAUCUCAAACCUAACUUUUACUUUUAAUAACUUAACUUUAACUGCUAAAAGUCUGACUUUUAUAUUUCUACCUUUCUGUAGCUAAUGCGAGUCAUGCAUUCUUUUUAUUUCACCCAUUGUACUUUUUUGUGUUAAAGUUGUAGUUUUAUAGUUUAAAGUUAUGGAAAUUGUUCUAAAAGUUAAAUAGUCUUCCGUCAUCUCAAACCUAACUUUUACUUUUAAUAACUUAACUUUAACUGCUAAAAGCCUAACUUUAUAUUUCUACCUUUCUUCAGCUGAUGUGAGUCAUGCAAUCUGUUUUAUUCCACACAUUGUAGUUUUUUGUGUUUAAGUUAUAAUUAUGUAGGUUAAAGUUAUGGAAAUUGUUCUAAAAGUUAAAUAGCCUUCCGUCAUCUCAAACCUAAUUUUCACUUUUAAUAACUUAACUUUAACUGCUAAAAGUUUGACUUUUAUAUUUCUACCUUUCUGUAGCUAAUGCGAGUCAUGCAUUCUUUUUAUUUCACCCAUCGUACUUUUUUGUGUUAAAGUUGUAGUUUUAUAGUUUAAAGUAGUGAAAAUUGUUCUAAAACUUAAGUAGUAUUCCCUCAUCUCAAACCUAACUUUUACUUUUAAUAACUUAACUUUAACUGCUAAAAGCCUAACUUUAUAUUUCUACCUUUCUUCAGCUGAUGUGAGUCAUGCAAUCUGUUUUAUUCCACACAUUGUAGUUUUUUGUGUUUAAGUUGUAAUUAUGUAGGUUAAAGUUAUGGAAAUUGUUUUAAAAGUUAAGUAGUCUUCCGUCAUCUCAAACCUAACUUUUACUUUUAAUAACUUAACUUUAACUGCUAAAAGUCUGACUUUUAUAUUUCUACCAUUCUGUAGCUAAUGCGAGUCAUGCAUUCUUUUUAUUUCACCCAUUGUACUUUUUUGUGUUAAAGUUGUAGUUUUAUAGUUUAAAGUUAUGGAAAUUGUUCUAAAAGUUAAGUAGCCUUCCGUCAUCUAAAACCUGAUUUUUACUUUUAAUAACUUAACUUUAACUGCUAAAA
Spinacia oleracea (spinach) is the source of this 2379-nucleotide long non-coding RNA. RefSeq lists it as uncharacterized. The transcript has 2 exons. Lineage: Eukaryota; Viridiplantae; Streptophyta; Magnoliopsida; Caryophyllales; Amaranthaceae. The record is from RefSeq and is a predicted model, not a curated record.